Molecule: non-coding RNA, 690 nt
Organism: Microcebus murinus (gray mouse lemur)
Lineage: Eukaryota; Metazoa; Chordata; Mammalia; Primates; Cheirogaleidae
Source: RefSeq, a predicted model, not a curated record
CCCAGCACAUCUCCAGGGAGAGCUCAGAUCCCCUUGACAUCAUCGCUCUGGUUGCUAGGCAGCUCUGCCUCAGAUUUUCAAAGCUUGUGAAGUUCUAAAAUAGACUACUUUAAUUGGUUUGCUCAUUUUUAGCUUUGAUGGUGGGUGGAGCUGAAAAGGGUUACUUUCCUGCCAGUCAUUGGAGAAUUGAUACAUAUCUGCAUGUGACCUGUGGCCAUGCUUCUUUGUGUUGUGAUGCUGGUUGAAUACUCAUGAUAAGAUGAAAGCACCACUGAUUUUAACAACAAAAGAUGGACAUAAGAAAAGCUGGAUUCUUUGGAGCUGAAUUAGAUGGAAGCUGAGUCACCUCCGUCUCUCCUGGAGUCUGAGCCGGCUGCUACCAAGACCUUCCUCGUUAUUCAAACUCAUUCACAUGAAUACCAAAAAGCAACAUUUGAUGGUUGCGGAAGAUUUCCAUCUUCACAGGUCAUGAAAUGGACCUGCGUUGGGAUACUUUUUGUUUACCACCUACACUAAGGAUUUACAACUGCCUAAGUGUUAUAUUUCCAAUGAUUGUGUUCUGAACAGAAGUCUCUGCCUGAGGCAAGGACAACUUCUUUAUUCACAUUGAAAAUGACAGCAGGUAAAAGGGCAAGAAUUUUUUUUUAAAAAAAUUCCACUUUUAGUAUAUUUAGACUGAAAAUCUUAUAU